This 465-nucleotide ribosomal RNA is filed under the name uncultured bacterium. RNAcentral's name for it is "partial 16S ribosomal RNA". It matches the Rfam family "Bacterial small subunit ribosomal RNA", at positions 339 to 795 of the family's 1533-position model. The record is from RNAcentral.
CUACGGGUCGCAGCAGUCGAGAAUCUUCCACAAUGUACGAAAGUAUGAUGGAGCGACGCCGCGUGUGUGAUGACGGCCUUAUUGGUUGUAAAGCACUGUCAGAGGGGAAGAAAAAGCGUAAGAGUAAUAUGCUUGCGCUCUGACGUACCUUCAGAGGAAGCUCCGGCUAACUCCGUGCCAGCAGCCGCGGUAAUACGGAGGGAGCAAGCGUUGUCCGGAAUCAUUGGGCGUAAAGGGCACGUAGGCGGUCUUGUAAGUCGAAUGUGAAAUCUCACGGCUCAACCGUGAAACUGCGUUCGAAACUGCUUGACUUGAGUACGGGAGAGGUAUGCGGAAUUCCUGGUGUAGCGGUGGAAUGCGUGGAUAUCAGGAAGAACACCGGUGGCGAAGGCGGCAUACUGGCCCGAUACUGACGCUGAGGUGCGAAAGCGUGGGGAGCAAACGGGAUUAGAUACCCGAGUAGUC